GACGAACGCUGGCGGCGUGCUUAACACAUGCAAGUGGAGCGACGAACCAGGGCUUGCCCUGGGGCAGAGCCGCGAACGGGUGAGUAACACGUGGGUAACCUGCCCAGAUGACCGGGACAACCCGAGGAAACUCGGGCUAAUACCGGAUGUGCUGCUCUCACAUCAGUGAGAUCAGGAAAGGUAGCUUCGGCUUCCGCGUCUGGAUGGGCCCCGCGGCGCAUUAGCUUGNGGUGGGGGUAACGGCCUACCAAGGCGACGAUGCGUAGCUGGUCUGAGAGGACGAUCAGCCACACUGGGACUGAGACACGGCCCAGACUCCUACGGGAGGCAGCAGUGGGGAAUCUUGCACAAUGCGCGAAAGCGUGAUGCAGCAACGCCGCGUGAGGGAAGACGGCC
This 396-nucleotide ribosomal RNA is filed under the name uncultured bacterium. Its description in RNAcentral is "bacterial SSU rRNA". It matches the Rfam family "Bacterial small subunit ribosomal RNA", at positions 28 to 416 of the family's 1533-position model. The record is from RNAcentral.